This 253-nucleotide ribosomal RNA is filed under the name uncultured bacterium. RNAcentral's name for it is "partial 16S ribosomal RNA". It matches the Rfam family "Bacterial small subunit ribosomal RNA", at positions 524 to 776 of the family's 1533-position model. The record is from RNAcentral.
UACGUAGGGAGCAAGCGUUAUCCGGAUUUACUGGGUGUAAAGGGCGCGUAGGCGGGAUGGCAAGUCAGAUGUGAAAUCCAGGGGCUCAACCCCUGAACUGCAUUUGAAACUGUCGUUCUUGAGUACUGGAGAGGUUGACGGAAUUCCUAGUGUAGCGGUGAAAUGCGUAGAUAUUAGGAGGAACACCAGUGGCGAAGGCGGUCAACUGGACAGCAACUGACGCUGAGGCGCGGAAGCGUGGGGAGCAAACAGG